This 508-nucleotide ribosomal RNA is filed under the name Sporosarcina sp. CL5.78. RNAcentral's name for it is "bacterial SSU rRNA". It matches the Rfam family "Bacterial small subunit ribosomal RNA", at positions 17 to 503 of the family's 1533-position model. Lineage: Bacteria; Bacillati; Bacillota; Bacilli; Caryophanales; Caryophanaceae. The record is from RNAcentral.
CCCUGGCUCAGGACGAACGCAGGCGGCGUGCCUAAUACAUGCAAGUCGAGCGGAAUGAUGAAGAAGCUUGCUUCUUCUGAUUUUAGCGGCGGACGGGUGAGUAACACGUGGGCAACCUACCUUGUAGAUUGGGAUAACUCCGGGAAACCGGGGCUAAUACCGAAUAAUCCAUUUUGCUUCAUGGCAAGAUGUUGAAAGGCGGCUUCGGCUGUCACUACGAGAUGGGCCCGCGGCGUAUUAGCUAGUUGGUAGGGUAAUGGCCUACCAAGGCGACGAUACGUAGCCGACCUGAGAGGGUGAUCGGCCACACUGGGACUGAGACACGGCCCAGACUCCUACGGGAGGCAGCAGUAGGGAAUCUUCCACAAUGGACGAAAGUCUGAUGGAGCAACGCCGCGUGAGUGAAGAAGGUUUUCGGAUCGUAAAACUCUGUUGUAAGGGAAGAACACGUACGAGAGUAACUGCUCGUACCUUGACCGGUACCUUAUUAGAAAGCCACGGCUAACUA